GCAAGGUGGGUCUCAGAGGUGAUCGGCGA
RNAcentral lists this non-coding RNA (29 nucleotides) under Homo sapiens (human). Lineage: Eukaryota; Metazoa; Chordata; Mammalia; Primates; Hominidae. The record is from RNAcentral.